Molecule: long non-coding RNA, 1427 nt
Organism: Ictalurus punctatus (channel catfish)
Lineage: Eukaryota; Metazoa; Chordata; Actinopteri; Siluriformes; Ictaluridae
Source: Ensembl
UAACUGCAAAAAAGGAACAAUUAUUUUUUAUUAAAACCUCAAAACAAACCAAAACAUACAGGGAAAAUGUACACCUUUAACUUAUACACUUUUAUAAACAAAAUAAAGUCUAUACUCUAUAUUUACAACAGCUGGGUUUUUUUCCAACAGUAGACCAAAUCAUAACUUCUUUUUUUUUCCUUCUAAAAUUCUUCUAAAAUCUGAUUUUACAGGUAAGAUACAAACUGUAUCAAUUCCUAUUUUAAAUUAUAUACACAAUUCCAGCAUGUUUGUUUUAAAUGCCAGCUAAUGAUAGACCGUUCUGUUUCUUUCAUUCCUCAGUUUCUCUAGUUAUUAAUUAAUUAUUUUUUAAAUUCUCAUUUCAACUAAAAAAAAUAUAUUUAAAAUAAAAGGAAAUAUUAAAAUGGCAGUAAUAACUUUUGAAUAGCUGGCAUGGUCAUGAGCUGUGAGGUGGAAUGAUCGUUCAAUACAUCAAAAACAGUUACAAACGUAAACGCAAACCCACGCUAUAUACACAAACUAAACAAAAACGAUGGGAAUAAAGCGAGGCCGGAUGGAUUACUGCUCACAUAUUCCUUUAUAAACUUUACUCAGACUGUCAUAUAUAUAUAUAUAUAUAUAUAUAUAUAUAUAUAUAUAUAUAUAUAUAUAUAUAUAUAUAUAUAUAUAUAUAUAUAUAUAUAUAUAUAUAUAUAGGUGCUCCAAAAAAAAAAAGUUUAAAAAGUGCAUUUUACAUGCCUGUGUGCCUCCUAUACUGUAGGACUUAAUAAGUAUUUGAGGUCAAUACCAGUCCUAAACAGCAGAGGGCGCAAUCAACUGCUGUAAACUCUCAGAAAUCAUCAAGUACCAAACUGUACUACUCCUUGCAAGAGUGGUAAUAUCUUUUGUACCUUUAGUAUGCAUCUAAGGUGUAUUUAAGGUGCAUAACUUGACCACUAAAAUGCUAUAAAAGCUAAUAAAAAGAAAACUAAAUGCACCUUCCUCACACACUAAAAAGGCACAAAUGAUGCCAAUUGGUACCAUGCCAGCAACAAGGACAAGGAAAAAAGUACUGUUUGGUACCUUUUUAUUUCUGAGAGGGUACGCAUAAGAUUUUGGGUAGAACUCCUGAAGUUAAACUCCUCAGUUCCUGAAGUGUACAAAUCUUACUUAAAACAUUUUUUAACUGCAUUUGUUUAUUUUAUUAUUAUUAUUUUAAAUUUCCUUUUCCUUCACAGAUAAGCAUCUGUAAGAGUUUAUCUUUCAGCACUCCAGGCGUGGAAAGUACCGCAUUCGGCUACGAACAGGAACUCUAACUUAAGGCAGAGGAAGUGUUUGCCGGAAAAGCCUCAGGUGACAUAACAAUAGUAAAAAGAGCAAACAACGUUUUUAAACACCACGUAUAAUUUAAAAAUAAUCAUUUACUUUGUUUUCAGUUGAGUUAUCAU